This 237-nucleotide ribosomal RNA is filed under the name Triticum aestivum (bread wheat). RNAcentral describes it as "partial small subunit ribosomal RNA". The record is from RNAcentral. Lineage: Eukaryota; Viridiplantae; Streptophyta; Magnoliopsida; Poales; Poaceae.
AUGUGUCUGUAUCUGUGUGAAACUAGACAACCAAAAGAAAAGAUGUAUCGUCUUCGUAAUCGAUUAGGCUUAGCUGGUUUUGAAGGAGUUAGUAGUGAUGGUCGUAGUGGUGGUCUAGCUUUAUUUUGGCGUGAGUCUGUAUCCCUGGUUGUUCAAGAGGCUAAUAAUAGAUGGGUUGAUGCUUAUGUCCGUUUGUCACCUGAUGAUCCUUUGUGGCGUGCCACGAGUGGAAAAUAG